RNAcentral lists this ribosomal RNA (287 nucleotides) under Prymnesium parvum. Its description in RNAcentral is "partial Bacterial large subunit ribosomal RNA". It matches the Rfam family "Bacterial large subunit ribosomal RNA", at positions 1265 to 1657 of the family's 2925-position model. Lineage: Eukaryota; Haptophyta; Prymnesiales; Prymnesiaceae. The record is from RNAcentral.
GAGGGAUCCUGGAGAUAUCGGAAGUGCGAAUGCUGACAUGAGUAACGAUAAUGGGAGUGAAAAACUCCCACGCCGGAAGACCAAGGUUUCCUGUCCCAUGCUAAUCAGGGUAGGGUAAGUCGGCCCCUAAGGCGAGGCAGAAAUGCGUAGUCGAUGGGAACCACGUUAAUAUUCGUGGGCCUGGUGGUAGUGACGGAUUGCGUAACUUGUUUGCUCUUAUUGGAUUGAGCAGGCGGGGAAGCGGUUCCAGGAAAUAGCUCCACCGUAUAGACCGUACCCGAAACCGA